Molecule: long non-coding RNA, 763 nt
Organism: Mytilus trossulus (common blue mussel)
Lineage: Eukaryota; Metazoa; Mollusca; Bivalvia; Mytilida; Mytilidae
Exons: 2
Source: RefSeq, a predicted model, not a curated record
UCCAGACAUAACAUUACUUUUAAAUAUGAGAUGACAAACUAAAAGUUUUAAAAAGUCCUAAAUAACUGAAAUGGACAAACAUACACAGAUUUAUUCAGAAUGUCAUACCGAUGAAGAUCACCUAAAAAUAUUUGGAAAAAUCAGAACUAUGGAUUUCAAUAUGGGACAAUACCCCUAAUGCGCCUUGAAAUGAGGAACACAAAAGUCACGUGUAAACAAAAAAUCUCUGUGUAGUGAUAUUUGACACAUUUCUAUGAUAAACAAAUGACUGAGCUGAACCAUUAGUGUUAAUUUAGAAAGUAAGGGAACACAGAAUAAAUGCGUAAAAACCAUGGAGCUAUGAAAUGUGUUCAAAGUAUUAAAAUUUCAAAGAACUUAUUGUGUUAAAAUUGAGAUUUUUUACCAUGAGGAGCCACAUCGCAAAAGGAUACUCGGGGUUUGCUAAAUUACGGAAAAAUGAAUCACACUUCGUACCCCGAAAAUUUAACCACAUAUGUAAAAAUGUCUCAGCUUCGAAACAAGCCAUCAUACAUAUACAAGUUUACGAUAUGGGCUGAGCAACAGAAGAAAACGUUACCAUUAUGGCCUAUGGAGAAACAAUUGCGCAUAUUGCCCCAAUUAUGUGUUUUAACCUUAUUUAAAAGAUUUUCAGUGUGUUUCAAAGCUUUUCAAUGCAUUCUACGUCUAUUGGAACAAGUAUUUUACAUAAUAAAAGGAAAUAACUCUCAAUUGUUCAAGAACAAUUGACAUUUUAUUUUUUUUA